RNAcentral lists this ribosomal RNA (735 nucleotides) under uncultured Staphylococcus sp. RNAcentral's name for it is "bacterial SSU rRNA". It matches the Rfam family "Bacterial small subunit ribosomal RNA", at positions 43 to 760 of the family's 1533-position model. Lineage: Bacteria; Bacillati; Bacillota; Bacilli; Caryophanales; Staphylococcaceae. The record is from RNAcentral.
CGUGCCUAAUACAUGCAAGUCGAGCGAACAGACGAGGAGCUUGCUCCUCUGACGUUAGCGGCGGACGGGUGAGUAACACGUGGAUAACCUACCUAUAAGACUGGGAUAACUUCGGGAAACCGGAGCUAAUACCGGAUAAUAUAUUGAACCGCAUGGUUCAAUAGUGAAAGACGGUUUUGCUGUCACUUAUAGAUGGAUCCGCGCCGCAUUAGCUAGUUGGUAAGGUAACGGCUUACCAAGGCAACGAUGCGUAGCCGACCUGAGAGGGUGAUCGGCCACACUGGAACUGAGACACGGUCCAGACUCCUACGGGAGGCAGCAGUAGGGAAUCUUCCGCGAUGGGCGAAAGCCUGACGGAGCAACGCCGCGUGAGUGAUGAAGGUCUUCGGAUCGUAAAACUCUGUUAUUAGGGAAGAACAAAUGUGUAAGUAACUAUGCACGUCUUGACGGUACCUAAUCAGAAAGCCACGGCUAACUACGUGCCAGCAGCCGCGGUAAUACGUAGGUGGCAAGCGUUAUCCGGAAUUAUUGGGCGUAAAGCGCGCGUAGGCGGUUUUUUAAGUCUGAUGUGAAAGCCCACGGCUCAACCGUGGAGGGUCAUUGGAAACUGGAAAACUUGAGUGCAGAAGAGGAAAGUGGAAUUCCAUGUGUAGCGGUGAAAUGCGCAGGGAUAUGGAGGAACACCAGUGGCGAAGGCGACUUUCUGGUCUGUAACUGACGCUGAUGUGCGAAAGC